Molecule: ribosomal RNA, 467 nt
Filed under: uncultured bacterium
Lineage: Bacteria
Description: bacterial SSU rRNA
Rfam family: Bacterial small subunit ribosomal RNA
Source: RNAcentral
UAAGGAAUAUUGGUCAAUGGAGGCAACUCUGAACCAGCCAUGCCGCGUGCAGGAAGAAGGCCCUAUGGGUCGUAAACUGCUUUUGAACAAGAGAAAACCCCGGUACGUGUACUGGGUUGAUAGUAUUGUUAGAAUAAGCAUCGGCUAACUUCGUGCCAGCAGCCGCGGUAAGACGAAGGAUGCAAGCGUUAUCCGGAUUCAUUGGGUUUAAAAGGUGCGUAGGCGGACUGAUAAGUCAGUGGUGAAAUCUCUCGGCUUAACCGAGAAACUGCCAUUGAUACUGUUAGUCUAGAGUACAGAUGAUGUGGGCGGAAUAUGACAUGUAGUGGUGAAAUACUUAGAUAUGUCAUAGAACACCGAUUGCGAAGGCAGCUCACAAAACUGUAACUGACGCUGAGGCACGAAAGUGCGGGGAUCAAACAGGAUUAGAUACCCUUGUAGUCCCUGAGCGGGCUGGCAAGGCGCAU